This is a small nuclear RNA of Myotis lucifugus (little brown bat), 107 nucleotides long. The record is from Ensembl. NCBI's taxonomy places the organism in Eukaryota, Metazoa, Chordata, Mammalia, Chiroptera, Vespertilionidae.
GUGCUCGCUUCGGCAGCACAGGGACUAAAAUUGGAACGAUACAGAGAAGAUUAGCAUGGCCUCUGCGCAAGGAUGACACGCAAAUUCGUGAAGCAUUCCAUAUUUUU